GCUGGGUGAGGUGGUGCACACCUGUAAUCCCAGCUACUUGGGAGUCUAAGGCAGGAGAAUUGCAAGUUCAGUAUCAGUCUAGGCAAGACCUUCAUUAGU
RNAcentral lists this small RNA (99 nucleotides) under Marmota monax (woodchuck). The record is from RNAcentral. Lineage: Eukaryota; Metazoa; Chordata; Mammalia; Rodentia; Sciuridae.